UACGUAGGGAGCAAGCGUUGUCCGGAAUCAUUGGGCGUAAAGCGCGCGUAGGUGGCUUCGUAAGUCCGUUGUGAAAGUCAAAGGCUCAACCUUUGAAAGCCGAUGGAUACUGUGAAGCUAGAGUACGGAAGAGGCGAGUGGAAUUCCUGGUGUAGCGGUGGAAUGCGCAGAUAUCAGGAGGAACACCAAUGGCGAAGGCAGCUCUCUGGUACGUGACUGACACUGAGACGCGAAAGCGUGGGGAGCGAACAGG
This 253-nucleotide ribosomal RNA is filed under the name uncultured bacterium. RNAcentral's name for it is "partial 16S ribosomal RNA". It matches the Rfam family "Bacterial small subunit ribosomal RNA", at positions 524 to 776 of the family's 1533-position model. The record is from RNAcentral.